This 510-nucleotide ribosomal RNA is filed under the name uncultured bacterium. RNAcentral describes it as "partial 16S ribosomal RNA". It matches the Rfam family "Bacterial small subunit ribosomal RNA", at positions 28 to 507 of the family's 1533-position model. The record is from RNAcentral.
GACGAACGCUGGCGGCGUGCUUAACACGUGCAAGUCGAACGAAGAGCGACGGAAGCUUGCUUCUCUCAAUCUUAGUGGCGAACGGGUGAGUAACGCGUAAUCAACCUGCCCUUCAGAGGGGGACAACAGUUGGAAACGACUGCUAAUACCGCAUACGAUCUAAUCUCGGCAUCGAGGAUGGAUGAAAGGUGGCCUCUACAUGUAAGCUAUCACUGAAGGAGGGGAUUGCGUCUGAUUAGCUAGUUGGAGGGGUAACGGCCCACCAAGGCGAUGAUCAGUAGCCGGUCUGAGAGGAUGAACGGCCACAUUGGGACUGAGACACGGCCCAGACUCCUACGGGAGGCAGCAGUGGGGAAUCUUCCGCAAUGGACGAAAGUCUGACGGAGCAACGCCGCGUGAGUGAUGACGGCCUUCGGGUUGUAAAGCUCUGUUAAUCGGGACGAAAGGCCUUCUUGCGAAUAGUGAGAAGGAUUGACGGUACCGGAAUAGAAAGCCACGGCUAACUACGUG